This 493-nucleotide ribosomal RNA is filed under the name uncultured bacterium. RNAcentral describes it as "partial 16S ribosomal RNA". It matches the Rfam family "Bacterial small subunit ribosomal RNA", at positions 29 to 508 of the family's 1533-position model. The record is from RNAcentral.
AGUGAACGCUGGCGGUAGGCCUAACACAUGCAAGUCGAACGGCAGCACAGUAAGAGCUUGCUCUUACGGGUGGCGAGUGGCGGACGGGUGAGGAAUACAUCGGAAUCUACUUUUUCGUGGGGGAUAACGUAGGGAAACUUACGCUAAUACCGCAUACGACCUACGGGUGAAAGCAGCGGAUCUUCGGACCUUGCGCGAUUGAAUGAGCCGAUGUCGGAUUAGCUAGUUGGCGGGGUAAAGGCCCACCAAGGCGACGAUCCGUAGCUGGUCUGAGAGGAUGAUCAGCCACACUGGAACUGAGACACGGUCCAGACUCCUACGGGAGGCAGCAGUGGGGAAUAUUGGACAAUGGGCGCAAGCCUGAUCCAGCCAUACCGCGUGGGUGAAGAAGGCCUUCGGGUUGUAAAGCCCUUUUGUUGGGAAAGAAAAGCAGCAGGUUAAUACCCCGCUGUUCUGACGGUACCCAAAGAAUAAGCACCGGCUAACUUCGUGC